CAGGAGGUAGUUUAAAGAAAAUGAUAGCAUUGGAAGCUAUUGAUCAAUUCAUUUUGUCUUUUGA
RNAcentral lists this transfer RNA (64 nucleotides) under Cirrothauma murrayi. RNAcentral describes it as "tRNA-Pro". The record is from RNAcentral. Lineage: Eukaryota; Metazoa; Mollusca; Cephalopoda; Octopoda; Cirroteuthidae.